GAUGAACGCUAGCUACAGGCUUAACACAUGCAAGUCGAGGGGAAACGACAUCGAAAGCUUGCUUUUGAUGGGCGUCGACCGGCGCACGGGUGAGUAGCGCGUAUCCAACCUGCCCACCACUUGGGGAUAACCUUGCGAAAGUAAGACUAAUACCCAAUGACGUCUCUAGAAGACAUCUGAAAGAGAUUAAAGAUUUAUCGGUGAUGGAUGGGGAUGCGUCUGAUUAGCUUGUUGGCGGGGUAACGGCCCACCAAGGCGACGAUCAGUAGGGGUUCUGAGAGGAAGGUCCCCCACAUUGGAACUGAGACACGGUCCAAACUCCUACGGGAGGCAGCAGUGAGGAAUAUUGGUCAAUGGACGAGAGUCUGAACCAGCCAAGUAGCGUGCAGGAUGACGGCCCUAUGGGUUGUAAACUGCUUUUAUAAGGGAAUAAAGUGAGUCUCGUGAGACUUUUUGCAUGUACCUUAUGAAUAAGGACCGGCUAAUUCCGUG
RNAcentral lists this ribosomal RNA (492 nucleotides) under uncultured bacterium. RNAcentral's name for it is "partial 16S ribosomal RNA". It matches the Rfam family "Bacterial small subunit ribosomal RNA", at positions 28 to 507 of the family's 1533-position model. The record is from RNAcentral.